UUAUCAUUUAGAGGAAGAGAAGUCGUAACAAGGUUUCAGUAGGUGACCUGCGGAAGGAUCAUUGUCGAGACCCAACCACAAACGACCGCGAACCCGUGAACCAAGUAUGCCGCCUCUCCGGCUCGUCCGGGCGGCGCCGUGCGCCCCGUCCCGACCCAUCCCCAACGGUGCCGGUCGGGYGGGCGGGCGGACUACGAACCCCCGGCGCAACGGGCGCCAAGGAACACAAACCUCGGGGGCAGCACACGGGGCCCCAUGCGGCCUCCGGAGCACCCCCGACGAUGCACUAUCAGCAUAACCCCUGAACGACUCUCGGCAACGGAUAUCUCGGCUCUCGCAUCGAUGAAGAACGUAGCGAAAUGUGAUAUUUGGUGUGAAUUGCAGAAUCCCGUGAACCAUCGAGUCUUUGAACGCAAGUUGCGCCCGAGGCCUUGUGGCCGAGGGCACGCCUGCCUGGGCGUCACACCAUCGACGCUCCAAGCCCGCCCCCCUCGCCGAGGAGUGCGGGACACGGACGCGGAAGCUGGCCCCCCACGCCCUCGCGCGUGGCCGGCCGAAGACACGGCUGCCGGGUCCCCGCGGGACACGAUUGGUGGUGGACGCCUUCGAGCGAGACGAACAUCGUGCCCCCGGGCCCGUGCGCGCAGCCUCACGCAGACCCCAUCAUCGGACCGCGACCCCAGGUCAGGCGGGGCCACCCGCUGAGUUUAAGCAUAU
This 717-nucleotide ribosomal RNA is filed under the name Chamaecostus lanceolatus subsp. pulchriflorus. Its description in RNAcentral is "eukaryotic LSU rRNA". The stretch from base 308 to 463 matches the Rfam family "5.8S ribosomal RNA". Lineage: Eukaryota; Viridiplantae; Streptophyta; Magnoliopsida; Zingiberales; Costaceae. The record is from RNAcentral.